AGGACCGCCGUAAUGAUUAAUAGGGAUAGUCGGGGGCAUCAGUAUUCAAUUGUCAGAGGUGAAAUUCUUGGAUUUAUUGAAGACUAACUACUGCGAAAGCAUUUGCCAAGGAUGUUUUCAUUAAUCAGUGAACGAAAGUUAGGGGAUCGAAGACGAUCAGAUACCGUCGUAGUCUUAACCAUAAACUAUGCCGACUAGGGAUCGGGCGAUGUUAUCUUUUUGACUCGCUCGGCACCUUACGAGAAAUCAAAGUUUUUGGGUUCUGGGGGGAGUAUGGUCGCAAGGCUGAAACUUAAAGAAAUUGACGGAAGGGCACCACCAGGAGUGGAGCCUGCGGCUUAAUUUGACUCAACACGGGGAAACUCACCAGGUCCAGACACAAUAAGGAUUGACAGAUUGAGAGCUCUUUCUUGAUUUUGUGGGGGGUGGGGCAUGGCCGUUCUCAGUUGGGGGAGUGAUUUGUCUGCUUAAUUGCGAUAACGAACGAGACCUUAACCUGCUAAAUAGCCCGGCUAGCUUUGGGUGGUCGCUGGGUUCUUAGAGAGACUAUCGGCUCAAGCCGAGGGAAGUUUGAGGCAAUAACAGGUCUGUGAGGCCCUUAGAGGUUCUGGGCCGCACGCGCGCUACACUGACAGAGCCAACGAGUUCAUCACCUUGGCCGAAAGACGCUGGGUAAUAAUGUAGUAUCAGGAUC
RNAcentral lists this ribosomal RNA (694 nucleotides) under uncultured fungus. RNAcentral's name for it is "SSU rRNA". It matches the Rfam family "Eukaryotic small subunit ribosomal RNA", at positions 853 to 1572 of the family's 1831-position model. The record is from RNAcentral. Lineage: Eukaryota; Fungi.